This is a long non-coding RNA of Clupea harengus (Atlantic herring), 985 nucleotides long. The record is from Ensembl. NCBI's taxonomy places the organism in Eukaryota, Metazoa, Chordata, Actinopteri, Clupeiformes, Clupeidae.
AAAUAUUACAGAUGACUUUGAGGAAGUUUCCAGACUGAGACCCGAGUGUUGAAAUUGCUGUAACUCCUCCAUUACGUCAGCAAAGGAAAGGGGAAGUUAAUUACAAAGGCUACAUCAGUCGUGCAACAAUCUCACGGUCCUAUAUUCACUCGAUUCAACACGCUCUUUGACACAAUGAUGUUCCAGGUCCAUACAACCAGAAAAGUACAUUUAUUUGUAUCCAUGCUGGUGGUUUGUUCCUCAGUGUCUGAUGGACAAAUUACAACUGGACCCCCUGGACCCCCUGGACCCCCUGGACCUCGUGGACCCCCUGGAACCAGUGGAUUCCCUGGAGCCAGAGGAUCUGUUGGAGCCAGUGGAGCCAGUGGACCCCAAGGAACCCGUGGAGAGAGUGGACCCCCUGGAAAAGAUGGACCCCGUGGAGCCAGUGGACCCCCUGGCACUAGUGGAUCACCUGGCCAGGAGGGACCUACUGGUCCCCCAGGAAUCUGCACCUAUUCUGAAGGAUGUGAGACAAGCACUUUUGAUCAAAAUGGACUGACAUUGAUUGCUAUAGUAGGAUGUGUUCUUGCUGUCCUGGAUGCUGCUGCCUUGAUUGCUGUUGUUAUUUUCCAGAUCAAGAAGAGAAACACAGCAGUGAGAGACUCCGGAGUGCAUUCCCAGAGGCCUGAUAUGGACCCUCCUGAUGAUACAUACACAGCUCUGAAUCUCAGAACAAGAUCACCUGAUUAUGACACUCUUGAUCAUUCCAGGAACCCACCAAGAGCACGUGGCCGAAGCCAUCAGUGAAUACUGAAGCCUCUGCAAACUCCAGCUGAUGUUGAACUUGCAUAACUCCAUACACCUUAGGAUAGCAACCAACAGGGGACAGUGUUUUACAAACAUAGAUACUGAUCUUGUGUGUGUGUGAAUAUGUGCAUGCGCGCAAGUGUGUAUGUGCAUACAAUGUAUUUGAGGGGAUUAGGACAUAUGAUAUAAGUGAGAU